Molecule: ribosomal RNA, 253 nt
Filed under: uncultured bacterium
Lineage: Bacteria
Description: partial 16S ribosomal RNA
Rfam family: Bacterial small subunit ribosomal RNA
Source: RNAcentral
UACGUAGGGGGCAAGCGUUGUCCGGAAUCAUUGGGCGUAAAGCGUGUGUAGGCGGCCAGGUAAGUCCGUUCUGAAAGCCCGGGGCUCAACCCCGGGAGGCGGAUGGAUACUGCUUGGCUCGAGUCCGGAAGAGGCGAGUGGAAUUCCCGGUGUAGCGGUGAAAUGCGCAGAUAUCGGGAGGAACACCAAUGGCGAAGGCAGCUCGCUGGGACGGUACUGACGCUGAGACGCGAAAGCGUGGGGAGCAAACAGG